CAGCACCACGGGAAUACAGAGGGUGCGAGCGUUAAUCGGAUUUACUGGGCGUAAAGCGUGCGUAGGCGGCUUCUUAAGUCGGAUGUGAAAUCCCUGAGCUUAACUUAGGAAUUGCAUUCGAUACUGGGAAGCUAGAGUAUGGGAGAGGAUGGUAGAAUUCCAGGUGUAGCGGUGAAAUGCGUAGAGAUCUGGAGGAAUACCGAUGGCGAAGGCAGCCAUCUGGCCUAAUACUGACGCUGAGGUACGAAAGCAUGGGGAGCAAACAGGAUUAGAUACCCCAGUAGUCCCUGUCUCUUAUACA
Molecule: ribosomal RNA, 301 nt
Filed under: uncultured bacterium
Lineage: Bacteria
Description: partial 16S ribosomal RNA
Rfam family: Bacterial small subunit ribosomal RNA
Source: RNAcentral